CCGAUUGAUUCUGUCGGCGGUUAUAUGCUUGUCUCAAAGGCUAAGCCAUGCAUGUCUAAGUUCAAAUAAACCUAUAAUGGUGAAACCGCGAACGGCUCAUUAUAACAGCUAUAAUGUACUUGAUGUUGAUUAUCCAACGUGGAUAACUGUGGCAAUUCUAGAGCUAAUACAUGCACCAAAGCUCCGACUUUUGGACGAGCGCAUCUAUUAGAUUAAAACCAAUCGGGUUAUUGGCCCGUUAAUUGGUGACUCUGAAUAGCUAUGGCUGAUCGCAUGGUCUUGUACCGGCGACGUAUCUAUCAAGUGUCUGCCUUAUCAACUUUCGAUGGUAGUUUAUGUGCCUACCAUGGUUGUAACGGGUAACGGAGAAUAAGGGUUCGACUCCGGAGAGGGAGCCUGAGAAACGGCUACCACAUCCAAGGAAGGCAGCAGGCGCGCAAAUUACCCACUCUCAGAAUGAGGAGGUAGUGACGAAAAAUAACGAGACCGUUCUCUUUGAGGCCGGUUAUCGGAAUGGGUACAAUUUAAACCCGUUAACGAGGAUCUAUGAGAGGGCAAGUCUGGUGCCAGCAGCCGCGGUAAUUCCAGCUCUCAAAGUGUAUAUC
This 605-nucleotide non-coding RNA is filed under the name Onchocerca volvulus. RNAcentral describes it as "Eukaryotic small subunit ribosomal RNA". It matches the Rfam family "Eukaryotic small subunit ribosomal RNA", at positions 4 to 605 of the family's 1831-position model. The record is from Rfam by way of RNAcentral. Lineage: Eukaryota; Metazoa; Nematoda; Chromadorea; Rhabditida; Onchocercidae.